Molecule: ribosomal RNA, 1357 nt
Filed under: Pediococcus pentosaceus
Lineage: Bacteria; Bacillati; Bacillota; Bacilli; Lactobacillales; Lactobacillaceae
Description: bacterial SSU rRNA
Rfam family: Bacterial small subunit ribosomal RNA
Source: RNAcentral
AGCAAGUCGAACGAACUUCCAGUAUAAUUGAUUAUGACGUACUUGUACUGAUUGAGAUUUUAACACGAAGUGAGUGGCGAACGGGUGAGUAACACGUGGGUAACCUGCCCAGAAGUAGGGGAUAACACCUGGAAACAGAUGCUAAUACCGUAUAACAGAGAAAACCGCAUGGUUUUCUUUUAAAAGAUGGCUCUGCUAUCACUUCUGGAUGGACCCGCGGCGUAUUAGCUAGUUGGUGAGGUAAAGGCUCACCAAGGCAGUGAUACGUAGCCGACCUGAGAGGGUAAUCGGCCACAUUGGGACUGAGACACGGCCCAGACUCCUACGGGAGGCAGCAGUAGGGAAUCUUCCACAAUGGACGCAAGUCUGAUGGAGCAACGCCGCGUGAGUGAAGAAGGGUUUCGGCUCGUAAAGCUCUGUUGUUAAAGAAGAACGUGGGUAAGAGUAACUGUUUACCCAGUGACGGUAUUUAACCAGAAAGCCACGGCUAACUACGUGCCAGCAGCCGCGGUAAUACGUAGGUGGCAAGCGUUAUCCGGAUUUAUUGGGCGUAAAGCGAGCGCAGGCGGUCUUUUAAGUCUAAUGUGAAAGCCUUCGGCUCAACCGAAGAAGUGCAUUGGAAACUGGGAGACUUGAGUGCAGAAGAGGACAGUGGAACUCCAUGUGUAGCGGUGAAAUGCGUAGAUAUAUGGAAGAACACCAGUGGCGAAGGCGGCUGUCUGGUCUGCAACUGACGCUGAGGCUCGAAAGCAUGGGUAGCGAACAGGAUUAGAUACCCUGGUAGUCCAUGCCGUAAACGAUGAUUACUAAGUGUUGGAGGGUUUCCGCCCUUCAGUGCUGCAGCUAACGCAUUAAGUAAUCCGCCUGGGGAGUACGACCGCAAGGUUGAAACUCAAAAGAAUUGACGGGGGCCCGCACAAGCGGUGGAGCAUGUGGUUUAAUUCGAAGCUACGCGAAGAACCUUACCAGGUCUUGACAUCUUCUGACAGUCUAAGAGAUUAGAGGUUCCCUUCGGGGACAGAAUGACAGGUGGUGCAUGGUUGUCGUCAGCUCGUGUCGUGAGAUGUUGGGUUAAGUCCCGCAACGAGCGCAACCCUUAUUACUAGUUGCCAGCAUUAAGUUGGGCACUCUAGUGAGACUGCCGGUGACAAACCGGAGGAAGGUGGGGACGACGUCAAAUCAUCAUGCCCCUUAUGACCUGGGCUACACACGUGCUACAAUGGAUGGUACAACGAGUCGCGAGACCGCGAGGUUAAGCUAAUCUCUUAAAACCAUUCUCAGUUCGGACUGUAGGCUGCAACUCAGCCUACACCGCAACGUCGGCAAUCGCUACUAAUCGCGGAUCAGCAGAACCGCA